AGUGAACGCUGGCGGCAUGCCUAACACAUGCAAGUCGAGCGGAAGGACAGGAAGCUUUUGCUCCUACGGGUGGCGAGGGGCGGACGGGUAAGGCAUAGAUCGGAUUCUUCUAUUUCGUGGAUAACAACGUGAGGAAACAUCUGCUAAUACCGCAUAUAUCCUACGGGUGAGAGCAGGAGAGCUAGGCACCUUUCGCGAUAGAAUUAGACGGCGUCGGAUUAGCUAGUUGGUGAGGUAAGGGCCCACCAAGGCGACGAUGCGUAGCUGGUCUGAGAGGAUGAUCAGCCACACUGGAACUGAGACACGGUCCAGACUCCUACGGGAGGCAGCAGUAGGGAAUCUUCGACAAUGGGCGCAAGCCUGAUGCAGCAACGCCGCGUGAGUGAUGAAGGCCUUCGGGUCGUAAAGCUCUUUUAUUGGGGAAGAACAGAAGCGUGAGUAACCAUCGAUGUCUUGACGGUACCUAAACAGUAAGCACCGGCUAACUUCGUG
This 492-nucleotide ribosomal RNA is filed under the name uncultured bacterium. Its description in RNAcentral is "partial 16S ribosomal RNA". It matches the Rfam family "Bacterial small subunit ribosomal RNA", at positions 29 to 507 of the family's 1533-position model. The record is from RNAcentral.